UGAAAUCUGGCCCUCGGGUCCGAGUUGUAAUUUGUAGAGGAUGCUUUUGGUGAGGUACCUUCCGAGUUCCCUGGAACGGGACGCCAUAGAGGGUGAGAGCCCCGUCUGGUCGGAUACCAAUCCUCUGUAAAGCUCCUUCGACGAGUCGAGUAGUUUGGGAAUGCUGCUCUAAAUGGGAGGUAUAUGUCUUCUAAAGCUAAAUAUUGGCCAGAGACCGAUAGCGCACAAGUAGAGUGAUCGAAAGAUGAAAAGCACUUUGAAAAGAGGGUUAAACAGUACGUGAAAUUGUUGAAAGGGAAGCGCUUGUGACCAGACUUGGGCCCGGUUAAUCAUCCAGCGUUCUCGCUGGUGCACUUGGCCGGCCCAGGCCAGCAUCAGUUCGGUGUGGGGGAUAAAGGCGGCGGGAAUGUGGCUCCUCCGGGAGUGUUAUAGCCCACCGUGUAAUACCCUGUGCUGGACUGAGGUUCGCGCAUUCGCAAGGAU
RNAcentral lists this ribosomal RNA (483 nucleotides) under Fusarium sp. NRRL 13270. RNAcentral describes it as "eukaryotic LSU rRNA". It matches the Rfam family "Eukaryotic large subunit ribosomal RNA", at positions 116 to 624 of the family's 3401-position model. The record is from RNAcentral. Lineage: Eukaryota; Fungi; Ascomycota; Sordariomycetes; Hypocreales; Nectriaceae.